GAUGAACGCUGGCGGUAUGCCUUACACAUGCAAGUCGAACGGAGAUUAGCUUCGGUUAAUUUUAGUGGCGGACGGGUGAGUAACACGUGAGAAUUCGCCUUUAGGAGGGGGAUAACGGAUGGAAACAUUCGCUAAAACCCCAUAUGCCCCUGGGUGAAACAGAGGAGAUAAGUAAUACUGACUCACCUCUGCCUGAAGAGAAGCUCGCGGCUGAUUAGCUAGUUGGUAGGGUAAAGGCCUACCAAGGCGACGAUCAGUAGCUGGUCUGAGAGGACGAUCAGCCACACUGGAACUGAGACACGGUCCAGACUCCUACGGGAGGCUG
Molecule: ribosomal RNA, 325 nt
Filed under: uncultured cyanobacterium
Lineage: Bacteria; Bacillati; Cyanobacteriota
Description: bacterial SSU rRNA
Rfam family: Bacterial small subunit ribosomal RNA
Source: RNAcentral